CUUCUGAGUAGAAGGUCACCCUUGCUACCUACAUGCUAGUGGGAGAAGCAGGCCGCUGGUAGGAACUCAAGUAGACCACCUUACCCAUUCCAGUUACUUGGAAGUAGUUCCUAGCAGCCUUUUAUGUAGAGUAUCCCAGAGCAUCUCCGACAUCUGAAGGAGAUGGAGUUCGUCCACUGGUACAGGAGAAUAUGACUGUGACAGAA
RNAcentral lists this long non-coding RNA (206 nucleotides) under Carica papaya (papaya). Its description in RNAcentral is "long non-coding RNA (CPAP_LNC011355)". Lineage: Eukaryota; Viridiplantae; Streptophyta; Magnoliopsida; Brassicales; Caricaceae. The record is from RNAcentral.